CACCAGCAAGUGGGCCAUUGGGAGAGACAGAUGUCCUGCCCGCUCUGGUCCAUUGAUCUUGCCUUUUGACCAGCCCCAGGAGGAAACACAUCUGUGAUGCUGUAUCCUCUCCCCGACUCCUUAACAGGGCUGCUGAGCUGGCGAUGAGGUCUGUGGUCUAUGAGGCCCUGCCGCCGCCUGGCCUUUCAUUGAGGACCAGAAAAUUGACCCCCACACAAGCCUCUGGAAAACUGCAGCCAGAGUCUGCCCAGAGAGUCUCUUCUGUCCCCUUCUCUAGACACCUGAAGCUCCCGUCUGCACCAGCCCUAGGCGCUUGUGCCCACUGCUGCCCCACAGGUUCGAGCAGCACAGGUCCCCAAAACCUUAACCCGAGAAGGGAAAAUAUUUCCAGAUCUGAGUGGCUGCAGGGCCAGACUCGGCAUCUAUGAAUCCUUCGUUCUGUGACCUUAGCCGCAUCCGCUAAGCUGCUGCCAGGCUAGACUGCAGAAACGAACUCAAAGCAAAGACGUUGAAAAAAAAAAGAAAAAAAAAUCAAGAGGUCUGAAAUUUGCCCCAUCAAGUCUUUUGAAACCAAACUGCCCACAUUUUUAAGGGUUUGACGUCAUAACAUUCCCAAGUAAGAUUACAUUUUGAAAAACAAUGAUUGUUGCUGUGCGUGUGUGUGUGUGUAUGUGUGUGUGUGAGUGCAUGGCAUGUGUGUGUGUGUGUGUGUGUGUGUGUGCGCGUGCGCGUGUGUGUGUGUGUGUGUGUGUGUAUGUGUGUGUACACAUGUGUGUGUGAGUGCAUGGUGUGUGUGUGAGUGCAUGGUGUGUGUGUGUGUGUGUGUGUGUGUGUCUGUGUAUGUGAGUGCAUGGUGUGUGUGUGUGUACACGUGUGUGUGAAUGCAUGGUGUGUGUGUGAGUGCAUGGUGUGUGUGUGUUGUGCAUCUUGUGUGUGCGUGUGUGUAUGUGUGUGUAUGAGUGCGUGCUGGGUGUAUGUGUGUGAGUGAGUGCAUGGUGUGUGUGUGUGUGUGUGUCUGUGUGUAUAUGAGUGCAUGGUGUGUGUGUGUGUGUGAGUGAGUGAGUGCAUGGUGUGUGUGUGUGUGUGUGUGUGUGUGAGUGUGUGUGUGUGUGUCUGUGUGUCUGUGUGUCUGUGUCUGUGUAUGUGAGUGCAUGGUGUGUGUGUGUGUGUGUGUGUGUGUGUGUGAGUGUGUGUGUGUGUGUCUGUGUGUCUGUGUAUGUGAG
RNAcentral lists this long non-coding RNA (1223 nucleotides) under Cricetulus griseus (Chinese hamster). RNAcentral's name for it is "lncRNA (ENSCGRG00015030174.1)". The record is from RNAcentral. Lineage: Eukaryota; Metazoa; Chordata; Mammalia; Rodentia; Cricetidae.